This is a ribosomal RNA of Ictalurus punctatus (channel catfish), 119 nucleotides long. Lineage: Eukaryota; Metazoa; Chordata; Actinopteri; Siluriformes; Ictaluridae. The record is from Ensembl.
GCUUACGGCCAUACCACUCUGACAAAGCCUGAUCUCAUCUGACCUUGGAAGCAAAGCAGAGUUGGGCCUGGUUAGUACUUGGUUGGGAAACUGAAUGGGAAUACUAGGUGCUGUAAGCU